Molecule: small nuclear RNA, 99 nt
Organism: Nicotiana attenuata
Lineage: Eukaryota; Viridiplantae; Streptophyta; Magnoliopsida; Solanales; Solanaceae
Source: Rfam
GCCUUAGGAGACAUCCGUUAAAAUUGGAACAAUACAGAGAAAGUAGCGUGCCCCUACCCAAGGAUGCCAUGUACAAAUUGAGAAAUAACCCAAAAAAAA